Molecule: transfer RNA, 78 nt
Filed under: Phytomonospora endophytica
Lineage: Bacteria; Bacillati; Actinomycetota; Actinomycetes; Micromonosporales; Micromonosporaceae
Description: tRNA-Ala
Source: RNAcentral
GUCGGGUGGACCGGCCGAGGCGGUCGCCGCGGUGGCGGCGGGGAUGGGGGCCGGGGGUUCCGAGCCCGUGCCCGACCC